Long non-coding RNA from Vollenhovia emeryi, 1997 nucleotides. RefSeq lists it as uncharacterized. The transcript has 2 exons. The record is from RefSeq and is a predicted model, not a curated record. Lineage: Eukaryota; Metazoa; Arthropoda; Insecta; Hymenoptera; Formicidae.
AAAUGGAACACCCUAUAUAUUUUGCAUAUUCUUGUAGCUUACCUCGAGAGCUUUCCAAAACACUGUAAUAACAUGUUUUUUCGUAAAGUACUUUUUGAGUUACAAUGCUUGAAAGUAACAGUACCCCGCCGGCAUUAGUAUUGCCCAAGGUAUACCACGUGGAGGUUGCGCGGAUCGGAACUGCACCCACAACAGCCGACAUUAUUCUGUGCAUAAGACUAUUAAGAAAAGAUAAUCAAAGAAUGAAUAUUUUAUAAUUUAUGUCAAAAUAUUGGAACCAUCAAGCUUUACAGCUCAAAAAGUUUCUUGAUAAAAAAAUAUUUUAUUACAGUGUUUUGGAAAGCUCUUGAGGUAAGCUACAAGAAUAUGCAAAAAUAUAUAGGGUGUUCCAUUUAAGAAAUUAAACGUGACCUUCGUGUGACCCUCAAAUAACUCUUCAAGGCCAAACCAAUGGUACCCUAUUACGGUCCCCUCGAAACCAUACAACAUUUUGCCUUAAACUUAUGGAUUUUGAGAGAUUUCAGGGCGUAGAUUAAAAUGGUCUACCCUGUAUAUAAAUUAUAAUAGUCAUAACUUAUACAUGAAUUGUUAACCGCAACAUCUAUUGCCGUGUUAGAUUUUUGUAUUUGAGUCGCUCUUACGUUAACAAUUCAUUAGUACAAGGAUGAAAGGUUUAUAAAUGAACACGUCGCGAUAAAGUUUGUUCUCAUUGAAUUUUUAUAUUUAAUAAUUAUUUACUUUCCAAUAGGUAUUUAUGGGAUCUCAGGAACAUAUUUUCAGUUAUUUAUAUUUUAUUGUUUAUUACAUAUGGUGAAUGUGAAUCUCGAUAUGUAAAAGUGCAUUACUGAAACUAUGAAAUUACUUGGAUUGAUAUUAACAAGAAGUGAUGUGUAAUGAUCUUGAAAUGAAGCACGCGUUAAAUUGAGAUAAUCGCUUGUUUAGAGCAGAAUAAAAAGUCAUGCGUGUACUUAUGAUAUCAUUUAAAAUUCAUGGCUUUUAGAGCAUUUAUUUAAGUAUUCUUUUGUCGUGUACUGUAUUUAAGCAAUGUGAACAUUGUUAGAAACUUGUGCAGUAAUUUAGCAACCCGAAGAUACUCGAGAGAAUUAUACAUUCUAGGCACAUAUGAACUGUACAGUUGAGUGUAAGAUUAUUUAACUUGUAUUUGCAAAGGCAUGAUUUUCAUAGACAUUUGCGUUUAUAGCUUUCCGUCGAUCUUUCGAUAUAUCUAGUUUGCAUAACUCUCUUGAAGAGAAUACACCUAUGAUAAGGUAUCCUGAUCAUUUGGAAAGCAUAGUUUGUGUAAAAUAUUACGUGAAGUGCAAUAAUAAUCAUUAUAUGUAUUACCGAUAGUUCUGAAAAUAUCAUCCCUUCGAACGUGCAGGAUUCAUUGCGAUGACGAAAGAUAUUUUUCCGACGUACGGUCGUACUGUUUUACACUUUCUUUCCCUUACCGUUUAUUUACCAGACUGCGUGUUCGACGGGCUGGAUUUUUAGAUGUACACUCUUCUCAAAAUUGAUCUCUCACCUCUUUUGAAAUCUUAGCCCUUCUAUAUAGCUAAUAACAUUGUUGACUAGUAGCGUGGCGUGACGAUGCACAUGUCCAUCGAGAAGGGCUAAGGCAAUAACAAACAGUCUAAAAUCUUUACCGUGUAAGAGAGAAACAACGUGAUCGUGCUUUUGAUUUCGCCUGUGAAAUCGGAGGAAGCGGGAUGCACAUCGUAAACUCGGCAGAAUGUAAUGCUAUCAAAAAGUAUCUACUACACUAAAGCUGUAAAGGAAUAAAAACCUGUAUUAAGAUGUGGGUAUUGAUAACUAGCUGUUGUAUUAUUGUACUUAUACAUACAUAUAUAUAUAUAAAUAUAAAUAAUAUAUAUACAUCUAAUCAAAUUGCAGUAGCAAUGCGUAUGCGUCUGUAAAGAUUUGAGUGUUUAGGGAUAUAUACUGUAACUUGAAAUAGCCAAAAUACAUAUAAGUGAUUAUUUUUAUGCAAGUCCAAA